This 459-nucleotide ribosomal RNA is filed under the name uncultured bacterium. Its description in RNAcentral is "SSU rRNA". It matches the Rfam family "Bacterial small subunit ribosomal RNA", at positions 26 to 518 of the family's 1533-position model. The record is from RNAcentral.
AGAAUCAACGCUGGCGGCGUGCCUAACACAUGCAAGUCGAACGAGAAAGUGGAGCAAUCCAUGAGUAAAGUGGCGCACGGGUGAGUAACACGUGACUAACCUACCCUUGAGUGGGGAAUAACUUCGGGAAACCGAGGCUAAUACCGCAUAACACCUACGGGUCAAAGGAGCAAUUCGCUUAAGGAGGGGGUCGCGGCAGAUUAGUUAGUUGGCAGGGUAAUGGCCUACCAAGACGGUGAUCUGUAUCCGGCCUGAGAGGGCGCACGGACACACUGGAACUGAAACACGGUCCAGACUCCUACGGGAGGCAGCAGUGGGGAAUUUGCGCAAUGGGGGAAACCCUGACGCAGCAACGCCGCGUGGAGGAUGAAGUCCCUUGGGACGUAAACUCCUUUCGAUCGGGACGAUUAUGACGGUACCGGAAGAAGAAGCCCCGGCUAACUUCGCGCCAGCAGCCGC